UACGUAGGUGGCAAGCGUUGUCCGGAUUUAUUGGGUUUAAAGGGUGCGUAGGCGGCCUUGUAAGUCAGUGCUGAAAUACCCCGGCUUAACCGGGGGGGUGGCAUUGAUACUGCAGGGCUUGAGUACAGAUGAGGUAGGCGGAAUUGACGGUGUAGCGGUGAAAUGCAUAGAUAUCGUCAAGAACACCGAUAGCGAAGGCAGCUUACUGGGCUGUAACUGACGCUGAUGCACGAAAGUGUGGGGAUCAAACAGG
This 253-nucleotide ribosomal RNA is filed under the name uncultured bacterium. RNAcentral describes it as "partial 16S ribosomal RNA". It matches the Rfam family "Bacterial small subunit ribosomal RNA", at positions 524 to 776 of the family's 1533-position model. The record is from RNAcentral.